UUAGACUUCAGAGACAAUAAUAAGAUUUA
RNAcentral lists this small RNA (29 nucleotides) under Bombyx mori (domestic silkworm). RNAcentral's name for it is "ovarian small RNA-36697". Lineage: Eukaryota; Metazoa; Arthropoda; Insecta; Lepidoptera; Bombycidae. The record is from RNAcentral.